GGCAAGUCAGCUCCUCAUGCUCCAUGUCCAUCCCUGUACUUAAUAAUACAAAUAAUCCUGUAAUCGAAUUGCUCCAUGGUCGGGUCGGGAUAGAGUUUCGAGCAAAGUAACCCCUAGCUUCAGGAAUGAACUGAAAACAUAGUUCAAGGUGUGAUUCAUGAGGUGUUGGUUGUGCCAGAAGAGCUGUCAUCAAGAAUAAUAUCAGCAGGAUCUCCUAUCCAUGGUCUCCCUUCUCUCCACUGAAACUUUAUCCUUAGUUUUCCAUUUGCAUCAACCCCAACCACCUGCCCUUUACUGGCGUGAGUCUCCAUUCCCCAACCCCAUCUUGGGGUCACAAGCCCUUCCCGUAUCUUCACGCUGUCCCCAAUUUUAAAUGGCCUAACUCGUUCCAUCUCCGAGGCCUUACAAAGCCAUAGCCUUUCCAUAAAGCAGAAUGCCACCCAUAAGUCUCCAUUUUCCAUUCGAUGCACUACCCCAAUGCUUGAAUGAGUUACCUCUCCCCAGUGGUGAGUCGGGAUUGAAACCGAUGGUCUAACCCUAACCCAGUCCCCAAUGCAAAGUUCCUGUUCCUUCACCAGCUCCACUUCUGAUGGAUCUAGCAUCCAAGUUUUGGAGCCAACAGGGGUGUAUAUUCUCAGCUUUCCAUCAGCAUCAAUAGCAGCUAUUGUUCCAAUGCUUCUAUGGCUAUGACCCGACCAACCAAAUCUCGGCUGCUUCACCGAGAGCUUAACUCUCACCUUGUGCCCCAUGAUAAGUGUUUCCACUCUUUGAAGAUGGGAAGUUGGGCCCGUCCAUCUUUCCUGCUCACCACAAAAUGCAACAAAUGUGUUUCUAUCCCAUUCAUCUCCUUCAUACCCUAUUCCUUGUACCACACCAAUACUACCAGGUACGAUAGAUUUCCAAUUACUAGCAUUUUCCCUCAAUUGCACCCACUCUCCCACUUCAAACAUAUGCUCUAUUUCAAGAUCUGCAGGAUCUCCUCUCCACAUGCCCGGCAAACCAAAGAACGCAACUCUCACUUCCCCAUCAGCAUGAACACUAGUAACAAUGCCCCGCGAAUCAGACUGAACCCCUCUCCAACCCCACCUUGGCUCAAUUAAUCCAGCUCGAAAUCGAACAUGUUGCCCGACUUUAUAAUUUGGAACAUUUUCUACAUCUGAGAAAUGGGUAAUCCACCUCCCUUUCCGGAAGCAGCAAGCCAAUUCCAAAUACCCGGCAUCCUGAACACUAUGCACUACUGCUAAGCUCUCUUUCCCAAUAGUGUUCCAGUCAUAACUUGGUCUAGCGCCAAGGCUCGGCUUUGAACGGACCCAAUCGCCAACUUCAAGUCCCGAAAGCCUUUCUGCAUCUCCAGGAGAAACUUUCCACAAACUAUGCCUGCCGUCAACCUUCACCUGCAUGGCUCAAACAAAACCUCUCCAUUAAAGUAAUUUAAUGGAUGAACUCACAAAAUAAUAUAAUCAACAUAUAGCUUUAACUGAUGCAUCCCCAACAGUGAUGCGAUAAUGUCGUAAUAAAAGAUAUAGUGCUCCACCAGUAACAUUAGACCAGGCCACUCGCUCCUAGAUUAAAAAGAAAGAAAUGGGAUGCUUACAUUCAAAGCUCCAUCCAUGUCAAUUUUCGAAAUUUUUCCAACGGUUGCUGGAGUUUCAUUUGACCAUCCUAGUCGUGGCUGACUGACAGAUGGCAUGACAUGAACCUGUUGUCCCACUUCAAAAGGAGGCACUCUCUCCACAUCAGUGACAGAGCAACAAAAAGGCUUGCUACGGAAGCAGAAAGCAAUACCAAUAUCACCGUCAUCUUCUAAACUAUGAAUUAUACCAAUGCUGUUGCGGGAAAUAUCCUCCCAUCCAUAUAAUGGGGAGGGAACCGAAGCUUUUACUCUAACCCAAUCACCAACCUGCUCUUGAUAGAAAUAUACACAAUAAGAUGCAUUAAAUUCUACUCUGACACCCAAAAAUUCCCCUUCAAUUGAUAGUCCAAAGACUACAUUGAGAAAGGGAACUUGUCAAAAAAAGAAGGGACAGGUAAUUACCUUGAAAUCCUCAACUCUUUCCAUGUCAGAGGGAUCAGCCUGCCAUGGGAUUGGUCGAUUUGGUAUUUCAAUCAUAAGAAGCCCAUCAGUCUCUAUCUCGGUAAUCCUUCCAACACUAUGAUGGGUCUCACCACCCCAAGCAUAUCGUGGCUCUGCAACAGAUCUCUUCACACAAACCCGCUCCCCAAUCUAUAAAAUGAAACAAUAGAUUACUUUUUGUUUGUAUGAAGAACAUGUUCCAAAUAAAGAGAACAGCAAUGUAGGUAAAAGAAAGUUCGUAGUUUAUUAUAUACCCUGAAUGGAGUUACGGGCUCAACCUCCUCUGGUUCACAAUGCCAACGAUUCGGAAGAUAGCUCAAGUCCAGCAAUAGACUACUAUCCGGUCUAAUACAGUAUACUAUACCAAUGCUCCCAGGUGUCACAGAUCCUAAUCCAUGCUUUGCCGUAGUAAGAGUAGGACGAAUUCGAACCCAAUCCCCAACCUUGAAUUCUUCAACUCUUUCCAUUUCUGCAGGAUCAGCUUUCCAUCCUCUAGAAGCUCCAGGAAAGCCAACACGCAAAAUCCCAUCAUCAUCAACACAUAAGACGGUUCCAAUACAGUCACGUGAUUGACCACGCCAGCCAAACCUGAAGAUACAAUAAAUCUAUUUAAUUCAAACUGGAAGAAAAAGGACGAACUAGUGGUCAAUGAUAAAGCCAAUCAAUUCAGUUGAAGGAUAGCAAACAUGCAAAUGGCAGAAGCACCACUUUGGUAGUAGAUCAAGUAUUUUCCACUGGGAUCCGAUGUAUAGAAUCAGAAAUCAAUUGCAGGAUCAAGAUUAUGCUGAAGGAUUUCAUUAUUGUUUAUUGUUUGCCUUCCAAGAAACAAAUACACAUGGAGCAACAUAAGAGACUGACACUGUACCUAUGAAAAGAGAUACAGGUAAAAGAUCAAAACAUUAUGCUUCCAUUUAUAAUGUUUUACCCAGGGAAUCUCCACUUAUAAAAAUUUAUACUAUUUUUUAGUUAUAAAAUGAUUAAGAAGAUCGGAAAAUAUUGUCAUCCCAUUCAAUCUCGAAACAAACAAUUUUGAUAUGAUUUUGACUAUAGUUUUCAAACACCAUGGCAAUAGCAUACAUCUUCAGAGUAAACAACAUAUCUUUUUUACUGUUUUGCAAAUUCCCCUUCCCUCUAUAGCCCAGUCCUAGGAUAUUAAAAGACCAAAAGAACAUCAAACAAGAAUUUUGACUAGAGUCUUCGAACACCAAGGCAAAAGCAUGCACCUUCAGAGUAAACAACAUCUUUUUUGUGUGUGUUGCAAAUUUCCCAUCCCAGGUGAUAAACAGAAAAGCAUAGGAGGCAAGUUCCUCCAUAUCCCAGUCCUAGGAUAUUCAAAGAUCAAAGAACAUAACAAGUGUACAAACCUUGGCUCUUUGACAUCUUCUCUAAGCUUAACGUGCUGCACUCUAUCAAGAGGAAUCACUUUUACAACUUCAUUUACCAAUACAUGAGCCUCUCCAGAACAAAAUGACACGAUAAGAUUGUCUCUGUCCACCACAUUUUGCACAAAGCCAACACUUUUAUGGGUUGCAUCUUGCCACCCAUAAGUAGGUGUAGUGACACUUCUUCGAAACUUCACCCAAUCACCCACUUCAUAUCUGAAUAAGACCAUGAACUCAAGAAUCAUAAUAAAAAGGAUAUAAAGAUAAAUAAAUAAAGUGAAUGAAUGCACAAUGAUGUGAACCCUCUCCUUACAUUGUAGGAGACAGUUGAACUCCCCUAUUUGUUAGUGCUUCCAUCAGAUCUUCAGAAAUCCAUUCACGAGGAAGUGCCUCCAAGAAGUCUCGUAAUGUCUUACCACUGUCAUCAGUAUUGACACUAUGUUAGUAAUAUAUGGAUCCAACAUGGAGAUUCUACAAUGUAAAAUGUACUGCCAAAAAACAAAUCAAGCCAAAGAAAAAGACGAAUAUGUUAACAAACGGCAAAUUUUCAUAGGAAUUCCAGAACUGACCCAUGAUUUCUAACUUCAACAGCAGCAUCAGGAUUCCCGAGCAUAACAAUGAGCCAUUCAAGGCUCUCACGUAUCAUUUUUGCAGUAUCUGCUGCUAUAUGGAAAGCAUUAUCACCUUCAUCACCCUGGUGACAAGCAAAGAUACUAUAAAUGAAUUGAAUGCAAGAAGAAAAAUACCAUGCAACAUUGCUCCAAUUCUUAAUUUGUUCUAACAUAAUCUUGUUGGACAUAUCUUGGAAACUUAUGCCUUCAGUGUGUGUCACAUAUCUCCUUAUAUCUCUAUCUUAAAUAACAGUAAAUUUGCUUUUUUAAUCCUUUUUUUUUAACACAAACCACCAUAUUGGAAAAGCAACCAGAAUAGAUUGGCCACUUGGUAGAUUUAUUAAGUCAACCAUAUGCAUAAUCUUAUUCUAUAUUUUAAAGAAAUUAGUGCAUAAUCGGAUUCGUUGCUCCAACCCUUACUUUUCCUAAUGCAUGCCAGUUGGAGACAUAUCAAGCACUUGCAAUGAACCAAUAUACAGCUAAGACCUCCUAAAUAUAAGAAGUAGAGAUAUCUACAUCAAGCAUGUAAACAUAUCUGAUGAUCACUGAGAAACAAUAUGAAGUAGAUAUAGAUCUGGGCUAACUCCUUGUGUCAGUACGAACUAAUAGAACAGUUUGACUCAAACACCUUUUACCCUUGUCAAACCAAAACCACAGACUUUCUUGCUUUCUAAAACCACCUGCGUAAUGAUAUUCAUAAUCUAGACCAUAGACAUUGAACAAGUUUUUCAAAGAUAUAUAGCCAAUUACACAUUUACUACUUAACAGCCUAGUUUCAAGUUUAUCACAAGUGUAGAAUCAAUUCAAGCUCUAAUUCAACUAUGAUUCUAUGAACCUUAAACCACCCUCUAUAACCAUAACCUGGACCAUAGAUAUUGAACUAGUUUUCCAACCGUACACAACCAAUUAUUGCAAGUUUUCCCUUAAAUUGAAUCAAUCCAUGUCCUUGUUCAGCUACGAUUCUAUGAGCCUUAAACCACCCUCAAUAACCAUAACACCUAAACCUCAAAUUUCCACCACAAACUGUGAAACAUACUUUCCAAAAUAUCUCAUCUUUGAACACGCCUUCAUUCUCCUCAAACAUAAUCAGAAUAUAGAAAUUGCCCAAAGAAGACCUUGCAACAAAAUCACAGAAAAUAAGCACAUUGCUCUUUAUCCAGUUUCAGUAUCAUAUUCCAUGCACCUAUCCAGUAUAACUGAAUUUUACUUAGCAUGUCUAACAGGAGAUUUGGCAAUCAAUUUAGCCCCAUUCCACAUCUAAUAUUUCAAUUUUUUCACAUAUGGCUUUUUUGUGUGUGUACAUUCUUGGUCAUGAAUCAAAGAACUAUGUUUAUUUAAACCCUAAUCCCCCAGUUCUUUGCUUUCAUAUAGGCUUUGCCUUGCUCUUGAAUUAAGAAUGUUACUUUUUACAAUUUAGAUUUAACAAUUUUCAGAACAACAUAAAAUCAGGGAGAAAAACAACUAUCAGAAAUAAAGCACAAACCCCCAAUACAAUUUAAGGCUAGAACACAAAUAUAGAAAAUAUCUGUAAUUAAUUACUGAUAUGCUUCUUAGAAAAAGGUCCAUAAUACUAGGGAAAUCAUAUGCAAGCAUUCCAUAGCAAAUAUUUUUAGGUAAAAGAGGAAGAAACCUGCAAAUUACAAUCCGCCCCGGAAGAUAAAAGCAGCCCAAUACAUGACGAUGCCCCUCGGGCCAAAGCUACAUGUAGGGGAGUUGUAUUGUGCACAUUUCUAAUGUUCACAUCCACUCCAGCAUCAAGAAUUAUCUGUCCACAAGCUUGCAAUUAGAUCGUGUAUAAACCCAAAGGCUGGCUAAAAUAUAUGUGCCGGCAUUUGCAUUCAUGCAUGAAAAGCAAUAAAAUUACCAGGAAGAAAAAAUAGAAUAAGUGCUUCUAACAGUAAGGAAGUUAUGUAGCUUACUUUUACCAAUUCAACAUCAUUAGCCAUAGCAGCAAUAUGCAGCGCUGUUCUCCCAUGUUGAGCAUCUUGGGCAGUGGGAUCUGCCCCAGCAGCAAGCAAUAUUCUCACCAGCUCCCUGCCCUCUACAAGCAGUUUUAUGAAUGAAUUGAAUUAUUGCUACUCAAUUAACAAAAAAAAGUUCAUGUGAUUAACAAAAUGGACACAACAUUGCCAAUAAAAAAUUAUUUAAAUUAAGCUAUGAUAACAAGCCUUGAAAGGCAAUAACAAAAGUGAUCGAAAGUUCUAGUAUGUUCUACCUGAAACAAAGAUCAAGGUUUAAGGAAUUAAAAUACAGAAAAUCAUCUAAGACCACAAAAAUAGAAUAAGGAAGCAAUAACCAUUCGUAACUGGUAUCCCAAAAUACUGUAGUAGAAAGAAGAAUAAAACAAGAAAGAAAAGGAAGAAUAUCCCAUAAUAAGUUCUCUGGCAUCCAUGCACGAAGAUACUACUUAUUAAUCAAAGUCCUAGAGAAAAUAAGAUUGAAAAGGCAUUUAUGAAGUAUCUUAUAUUAUGCAGUAACCAACUAGGAAUGGCAAAAAAAAGCAAACAGGCAGCCAAAUGACAAAAGCAUAAACUCCUAGAAAAUUUUGAUCAAAAAAGAAAACCUAAAAAACCCUAGUGUCAAGUAUAGCCAACAUAGUAAAGUUCAUGCAGACAUUACAAUUGUAUGCCUAAAAAACAAAAAUCUCAUAAUUCCAAAUAAAGAAUAAAAUCCUAUAUCAGAAUCUUCAGUGACAAUAUGAAAUGCCACAUUACAACCUUUUAAGGAAGUAAAUAUUAUACCUAAACCUGUUAAGCAAUUAUAGCAACACAGAUUAAUUAAAUUAUCUUUCACUAAAGGAAUUGUGAGCCGAAGAAGAUAAUCAAAGGAUAACAGACCAUUUACUUAAAGAAGAUGAUCAAAGAGUUCUGCACUACCUAUUUCAUGAUUUUUCUUUAGAGUAGCUGCCAUGCACAAAGCAGUCCCAACAAGACUGGGGAUUUCAAUUGCAUCUGCAAUUUCCUCUGGGGAAGCAACUUCCACCCACCUUUUGACAACAGCCACAUUCCAUGUUGCCACACACAAAUGCAAUGGUCUGAUAACAAUGAAUCAAGAUAUGAAGCCUUGAGUGGAGUAAUAGAAUGAAUGCAAUAUAUUAAUGAAAAAGGGUUAACAUGCAUGACAGCAAACAGAUUAGAAAGGUAGAAAUGAGUUAGUCUAUUUCAUAUAUUCCAAGCUUCUACUUGAAGCAAAUUUACACUUGCUAUCCAAAAAAAGUGGGGGAGAAAAGAGAAAGAGAGUUAACAUAGUGUUAAGUUGAGAUAACCACUGAUCCAAUAGAUGAAACCAUUCCUAAGGCCCUUUUUCCUUUGGAUAAAUAAAUCAGAUUGUGCACUAAUCCCAGUCUUUUCAACCCUGUAUCCUAAACCAAACCCCAAACUGGUACGUAUAUUAAUAAUGUCAACGAAAAACAUGUUUAGUAAUAAAUGCAUCUCCCAAUAGAUGACUAGAUUCAUUCACAAGCACCAGAAGAACAGCAAUAGAACACAACCCCAACGUAAUGGAGGCAUCUGUUUCUGACAUAAUAUAGAAGCUGCUGGCCAAUCAUCCAUCGUUACAUGAUAGACUAUCAAAACUAUCAUCUUACCUUUACAGUGUUGACAACUCGACAGGAAACAUAUGAUAAGUGUAAUGGAUUUAUGCCAAACCAAAACAAGAGCUAUUAAAGAAGUCAGCAACAAAGUAUACAUUAGAUCAAAUAGAAUCUGGUUAUUUUAACCUAAAGGUAAUCAGCAGGCUAUUUUCAUGAAGCUGAACUACUGAGUCAGUUUAUGGAAUUCCAGACUAAUUCAACAGAAGCUACAACCUACAGUGCUCCAUUGACCACAUACAUCUAUCAAAGGAAAAAUAAGAUACGAAUCUGUAGUUCAGUUUUGUACUACUCAUAUGGAUGUAUGUGUGUGUGUAUAUAUAGACAAAGCGAAAAGUACUAAGCAGAUGUGUGUAGAGCGGUACAGUACUUACGUCAAAUUUUUGGAAUUCAAAACAGCCAUUGAUCUGCAGCCCCCAUAUUCCAAUAUGACAAUAGCGCAGUCUGUAUAUUUCUUGGCCACAGCUCUAUGAAGCACAGAUUCACCUUCAUCAUCCACCGCAUUAGGGUCAGCUCCAGCCAAUAGCAACUCCUGUUAGACAUUUAGCAAAAGAAAAAAACUCAAACACUGAAGAAGCAAGAAAGAGCAACCAUAUAUAUAAUUAACAUAAGACCUACGCGCAUGCAGUCAGGUUGACCAUGAUAAGCACAAACAUGGGCAACAGACGGACCAAAACCAUCCCUCAACCUGGACUGAACAUCAGCACCUCUCCUAAUGAGAGCAAGGACACAUUCUGGGGAUCCAGCUGCUAAAGCAAAAACAAGAGGAGGAUCCCCAUCCUUAUCCAACACAUCCACAUUUGCCUCAGCGUACUCCAAUAUUGCUUCAACUAGUUCAGCACUACCUCGUCUACAGGCCAAGUGGAGAGCAGUUUGCCCAUCAGCAUUCUGUGCUUCUAAAAUGGAAGAAAAUGAACUACCACUAUUUCCAGAAGAAGCCUUUCCAAGAAAAUCUCUUCACAAAACAAAGAAUAACAGCAAAUUACAAAUAAGAGAGAACAUUCUUCAAAAAGAGAGCUAAGAACAUGUCUUAAAUAAACUAUACUAACCUCAAACCACUCACACCCCCCUCAGAAACAAGUUGAUGCAGAUAGUUAGGAUCGUCAGGUAAAACCUCCAAACCAGACAUGGGUGGUGGCUCCACAGCAUUUGAUCCAGGUAAUUUGACAAAGCCACUGCACAUUCACCAACAUUUUUACUGAAUGCAAUGAAUUAAAUUUUACUGUAUUCUGUCACUCCUAACAUGGACAUACCCACAAAUGCAUAACCACCACUUAAAGCAUCAGCAAUUUUUAAGAUCGGCAUUAGCUAUUAUCUAGGUAUCACAAACAACAACAGAGGAAGUUAGGCAUGGUAACAACCAAACUUUGUUCUUACUUAUCAGGACUUGCAGGAGGGCUGCGUGGUAUCUCUUGCAAAUGACGAAGGAAUAUUGCUAACAUUGCAUUAAAUGUUGGUCUUUUUGAUGGUUUGAACUGCAGGCACUCUCCGAUCAUCUUCCACAAUUCCCUAGGUAAUCCAACACCGACUACACUUGCAUAUUGAGGAGGCAAUUUCCGAGCCUUAACAACAGCUCGAUAGAUCUCAUCUGCGCUUAAACCAGCCCAACUGCACAAAAAGUAUCAGGUUGUGUUACAAUGAAAAUAUACCACUAAUCAUAAUGCAGAAAGGAAGAAACAAAGAAAAAGAGAACAUUAAAAAAAUGGUUGCUCCACAUACGGGAUGGAACCAGUGCACAUUUCCACCAAUGUACAACCAAAACUCCAAGCAUCUGAUUCUGCAGAUAUGCCUAUUGCAUCAUCCCAGAAAAGAUUCAGUGACUUCUUUACUGGUUCCCAUGCCUCCGGGGCAGCAUAAUGUGGGCUGAGCAUAGUGCAAUCCAUGCAUGAAUGAAUCUUGGAGGAAUCACAUUCUGUUUGAGCUUUUUGGCAAGCAGGUUUCUUCAGAAUUGCAGCAAGUCCGUAAUCAGAAACAACAGCAUGACCACUUGCAUUCAAAAGAAGGUUAGAUGGCUUUAUAUUCAUACAGACAACACCUGCUGCAUGAAGUUCUGCCACCCCUCGUGCAAUAUCUGCUGCGUAUCUACGAUUGGCAAACAUUCACCAAGUCGUCAAAGAGAAAAUUACAGCCACAUAGUAAUAGGUAAUUAUCUAAGAUAUGAAAUAAGCUAAAGACAUUAGAUUUGAUAGAACAGAAAAUUUUUAUGUGAUUUUCAAUUCGGCAACGAAUAAACUUUAGAUAGUAAAUAGCAAAAGAAAUUUUAAAUCAAGAACAGGGAAAAUCAUAUUUAUGCAGAAACAGAAACAUAACACUAAUACCAAAACUCAAAUUUAAUGCAUAAAAACAUUAAAAGAGGUGAGGAAAGAAAAUGAUAAAGUGACAUGUAUGUAUCUUUCCAUGCAUAAUAAUGUUGUAUUAACACUUUCUAGGGUCAAUUAAAAUGUUUUCUCCAUUUUCCAAAUCAUCUGACAGACUUCAACAUAUCAAAUCAAUGAUUCCCCUUACUGUCUUCACUCAAUUGCAUUCUUAUUGAAAUUAAAAUCAACUUUUAGUAAUCUCUUUAUGUCAACUAACAAUACUAAUUCUACCAAAAAAGAGAAAAAUCUAUCCCUUCAGGCAAUAAUAAUAAUAAUAAUAAUACAUAUAUUGGUUGCUUCGGAAAUUUCAAUCAAAUGAAAAACUGUUGCAUUAUUUGCUUGUCUUGGCAGUUCAUAGGAGUCAUCAUUCUAACCAAUUACAACAGGGAACCAAGUUAGAAUUCUAGAAAUAAUUAGAGAAGGACAGUUUCAUUCAAGCCCAUACUCUAAUGGCAAUGGAAUUCACAAUGUAAGCAAUUGCAAUAGAAGGAAACGAGAGGGAGGUAAGAAAAAGAGAGCAGGAUCAGAAAAGUGAGGCAGUCCCUUGAUAAAAAAUACAGAAAAGCUCAAUAUUGUUCAUUCAAGAACUGUUCAUUAAAUCCUCAAAUUUAUUUUAAGAAACAACAGAAACAACUAGUCAACACUCGGAUAAAAGUCGUUAUUGGAUUAAAACUGGAAAGAACCAUUUUGCAAGAAAAUUAAAGUUGAAGAAAUCUCUAUACUUACCGUCCGUACCUACCAUGCAGAGGUUGAGCCUUACCAAUAGCAUUGAUGCUCAAAUCAAUCAUCUAUAUUAAUAUCGGUAACAAAGUAAGCUUAACAUAAAAUAGAAAACUGCCAAACAUAUCUACAUCUAUUUGUAAGGGCUAGCAAUAAGAAUAAAUCCCCAGUGAUAUUUUGCAAUUGAAGAUGAUCUAGUUCCUUUUUUGUUUAGAAGUCCAUUAAUCAAGGGUAGAAAUAGCUUUCUUCUUUUUUAAAGCAAAAAAUGGCUCUAUUCCUAUAAUAUGACAAACAUACCUUCAGUAAUGCUCCUAUAAUAAUUUCAGAGAAGAAAUUUUGGGUAUUUAUAGAAUAAAGGAAAGUAUGUACCAGUUUCAUUUUAUGGAUCAUGGAAUUUGUCAAAUUUAAUACAUCAAGCCUGCAAAAAAUUUUCCUCACCCUGUCUAUUCUCCCAAUUGUAAGAAAAGUUAAAGCAUGAAUCAUCUUGCUUCCACAAUACCCUGGCCAAUAUCACCAAUCAAAACCAAACAGCCCUAAGUUUUUCCCCUAAAUAUAUAACAUCCUCAAACACACCCCUUAUUGCACACUAACAAAAGGAAACAAUCUUUCUUUUUCUUUUUCUUCUUCUUCUUUUUUUUUUUUUUUUUUUGGGGGGGGGGGAGCGGAUGCACCAAAACUUAGACCCCAUCUAACACUCAUAAUCAGACUGGAAACAAUUUGCAGCAAAAUCCAAAUGAUAUUAAUCCAUCCAACUUACAUGGCAAUAAUGAUGACUGGCUCAUAGGCAUUACUGACUGAUCAUCAGAAGCAAUUUGAAAUAAUAUUAUACCAUAAAGAUUACCCUAAAUCAAGAUUUAUGUAUCUCUCAGCUACAAGGCUUUUACAGAUGAGGAUUAGCAUAUUCAUACCAAAUAUGUCAGUCAACAAGCACACUGGCUACAGAUUUUCAUCAAGAGUUAAAAUUAAAAUGUUUUCCUUCAGGGAAUUCACAGAAUCUACAUUAGAAAUGAAGGAAAAAGAGAGGUUAAAUAUUUGAGAUAUCAAAGGUUACCAGACAACCUAUCUUAGCCUCCAUGGGAACAGAUUGAUUACCCUACAGUCAUUCCCUUAAAGUGUAAAGACAUCAAACUUUUAUUCAGUGUACAUAAAUCUCCAAUUCAAGAAAGAAUAUAUUAACUACCCUUGGAAUUGCAAUAUCAUAAUCUACUUAUAUAAGGCAACAAGAAUUUACUACAUCUAGUAAGUUAGCAAUUUCAACUAAGCAACGCAACUCAACAUACUGAAACAACUUGCCACACAUCACUAACAGAAAGAAAAUGUGCAUAAAACAUCAAGAUUUCCUACAAUCAGUCCAAAUCUACAGAAAGCAACAUUCUAAAUAAGAUAAAUUAAAACCACCGGACAACAGCUCAAAGCUUAAGUCAUUCAGCCUCAACGAUAAAUUGUCUCGGCACAAAGCAUACCCUUCCCUGGCCUACAAGCAAACCUACCAAUCUUAUGUAACAAAUUAUGUACAAAAGCAUAUACAAAAGCCAACAAAAUCAACAACAUCAACGUGCAAUGAAGUAAUGAACACCAAUUAAAUUAUCCUUAAAACAUAAACAAAGGGCCCAAAAAACAACCUUAGAACUUGCUCCAAGGUAAGUCUCCCUCCAUUGUUCAACAUUGCCGAUCUAAUCGACCCGUGGCACCUAUCCAUAACGAUCCCCAAACUACUUUGUUCUAACUUAACAACUCCAUGGAAAGUACAAACAUUCCUACACCACAUUGAUGCACGCCUCAAACUCUCAAGUUGACCUUGCACCCAUUCCCAAUCCAUCCCUUCCAUUGCCCCCACUUUCUUCACCGCCACCUUAUGCUUACACCGUCGUCCUCCUCCCCUGCCGUGGGUCCCACUAACCACUGCAGCCCACGUUUCCACUCCAGCUCUUCCCCCCUUCUCUUCCCCUUCUAACUUCCUAACCAACUUCACUUCCGGAUGAGCUGUUAGUUCAAUCACAGGCCCACAUCCGGCGGCACCAGCACCGGAGAUCGAAGCGUGGGAACUGCGGUUAAUCCGACCCCCACCCGCCAAUUCUUCGAAAAAAUCCCCAUUUUCAUCAUCAUCCUCCCUCUCUUCAUCGUCGUCUUCUUCUUCAUCAGUGUAAUCGCAGUUAAAAUCGUUCCUCGAGUUCGACCCAACUGAGUUGGGGUUCGAAUUAAGAAGGGCUAAAAUCCCAUAGUUCUUCUUCAAAGCCUGAACCGAGUUUCCGACAAGGGACACGUGGCGGCAACGGGGACAAGACAAGGAAGUGUCGGGUGAAGCAGAGAACAUUUUGGAAAGACACUCUUUGCAAAACCCAUGCCCACACUGAAGCAAUAAAGGAACUCUGUCUUCCUCGUUGUACCGCGUUUGGCAAACCGAACAACAAGGCACCUUCAUCUCUUCCCUUUUCUUUCUUUUUCCUUUCUUUACUUCCCCAGAAAGUAAGAAAAUUUUCCCAGGAACCAAACAGCAGAUUUAGUGAAACCAAUCAAAAAAGAUCUAUUUUUUGAGAAGAAAUGAAGGAGUCAGGAGAGGAAAUGAAAUGGCAGAUCCAUUGAAAGGUAAACGAAAGGUUAAAAGAGAUCAGAUACUUGACAUUUUGAUUAAUUAAAAGAAGAAGAAGAAUAAAAGAUAGAAUAAUUUUUUUGCUCCAUUUUUUUGUUCUUCUUUUACUUUGUUUAGGUUUGAGUUUGGGUGGUGAGAGUGUUGAAGCUGUUUUCACUUGGGUGUUUUCCAUUAGUUCUUUUUAUGUGCUAUGAUUAUGACUCUCUUCCCCCUCAUUCACCAACUCUUUUCUUUAUUCAGAUAAUUUCUAUUUUCCUACUCUAUUUUUGUAUAUUUAUAAUUCUAUUUCUUUUCUUUUAGAAUUUAGAAGUACAAUUAUUCUAACAUCUCAAUUAUGUAUGCCAACGUCGUUGAAAUGUAACAUGGGAGUGGUCGGAUCGUGAAUUGAUCGGUACAUUGAUAAAGCAGUAUAAAUUGAUUAAAUAAAAUUUUAUAAAAUUUAAUAAUUUAUUUAAUUAAAAUCAAACUGAUAAUUGAAUUAAAAAUCGAUUAUCUAAACGAUUCAAUAGUUGAUCUAGUUCUAAAAAUAUUAGAUGAGACACCAACUUGAUAAUCAGGAUACAUGACCUCAACCUUUGUUAAUAAUGUCAAUGUCUCAUAGACAACAUAUUAUAUUGCUUUUUAUGUGUUAAUAAUUUAUAUUAAAUUAUGAUAUACACAUUGAUGAAAAAUUUAUGUAAUAAAUAUAUUUACAAAAUUGAUAACAAAUGAGAGUUUAGUUGAAACGGUAAAAUUGAGUAAUUAAAUGACAUGAUGUUUUAAAUUCAAAUCCAAACAUAUGUAUGUUUUUUUUCUAGAUUUCAUAUAAAAAGAUAAAAAGGGGGCUAAAAAGGCAUAUAAACUCUUAAACUUUGGUAAAAAAUCAAUUAAGUCCCUCUAUGAAAAAUGUACUUAAUUAAAUCCUUAAACUCUCAAAUUGCAUCAAUUGAGCCAUUUGACCAACGUUUUCCAUCUUUCACCGUUACAGUACUGACAUAACCGUUAUGGACUCCACACGACAACGAAAAUAAAAAAAAAAUCAUUUUUUAAAGUAAAUAAUAUAUUUAAAAGUCUUACUCGAAUGAACUUAGACAAUUUGUUGUCCAGGUUCAUUCAUUUCAAACUUAUUUUUUUAACUGUAUAAAAAAUUAUUUUUGAAAAUUUUAAUUUUUUUAAUUUAUAAUUUUGUAAAAAAUUAUUAAAAUUUAUAAAUAAAUUAAAUAAAAUUCAAAAAGUUAAAAAAAAUAAAUAAUAAUAUGUUAAUCCUCAUCUUGGCGUGUCAAAGCUCAUCCCAUAGUUCUUAUUUAUAGGAAAAUGGUACACUAGUCUUACUUGAACAAGGGUUAUUAAAUAAUAAUAUUUUAAUAAAAAUACAAUAUUUCACUACACACGAAACACUAAGGGGCAGCGGCAUGCCCUAUUGUGUACUAGGGUUUAUCGCCCUUCUCACACCGCCUUAUUUAUUAGGUACAAUUAUAUGUUUGAUGUAACCUCCCAACUCGUCCUAGAUGUUAAACUUGAAUUCAGAAGUUUACAUUGGCCACCGAAAUGACCCGAUAAGCUAGCGGAGUUUGUAAAACAAUCGUUUUAAAACAUUAGUUUAUCUUUAGAGGAAACUUAAUCUAUUUUCAGAAAAACUUAACGUUUUACCUCCCUUCUUACGAAAUAAUACAGUUAAUCUAAAAUCAGUUUAUUUAUAAAUUAUCUACUCGUUUAAAAACUUAUUUUUUAACAAUGCAGCGAGAAAAUGAUAAUACCGUAGUUUUAAUGAAAACCAUGUUUCAUGCAUUAUGAGAUAAAAUAAAAACUCAUGUAUUAGUAGCCUAAAAAUACCAUGCAUGUCCUAAAUAAUCCCGAAACUAAGUCCUAUGCCACAGUUUAGAUAAGAAGUUAUAAUUCUCAAAUAAUAGGAACUAAAAAUAAUAAUAGGUAAAAAAAUAUUUAUAUAUCUUUAAUUCGAACCGAACCCUCUGAUUUGUCGAUUCUACUUCCUAAUCUGGUGGGCUAUUUGUAAAGAUGUAAAUUAAAGGGGAGUGAGCUAUGCAGCUCAGUGUGCCCAGAACUAAAUAGUAGGCAAAGCACAUGGGUUAACAAUUCUGAGAAUAAUCACAAUUAUAAAGCACUUCAGAUUAAUAGUUUUUCAUAUCAUCACUUCACUACGCUAUCUCAGAAAUCACAGCUUUUAUAUGCGCAUGCUAAUGAAUGGCAAUGCAAUUUCAAUUUAUCAGAAAGGGUCUUACUCAAUUCCGCUACCUACCUCACUUAUGAGUUCCCUAGAACUCAUCUACCAUAUCACUCUAGGUUGUGGAUGAACCACCGCUAAUUUGAAGAUAAAUUGCCACUUAUUGUGGAUACACAACGUAAUUGCAGAUAAAAACUACUAUUGGGUUUGUAAAAAUUGUGGGCAAACCACUAGUAUUUUUAGAUAAAAAUAUUUGAAGACAAUAUGCCACUUGGUUCGAGAUCGAACCACAUAUUUGCAGUUGCUACCACUUGUUGUAGGUGUAUAACAUAUUUGUUGAUUAAACAAACUACCACUUGGUUUGUAGACAAACCACUACUUGUUUGCACAUUAUUAAACUGUCACUAUUGCUCCAUACAAAUCAUCUUGCACCAUGCAAUGCAAUAUGGUAUACUUUAUGACAUAAAAAUGCAAAAAUCCGUAGGUAUGCUUAACACUUAUUACGUUCAACACUAGCAAUAGACAUGUUCAUCAUGUAUUCAAUGGGAUAAAAAUAUUAACACUCGCAAUUUAUCAAUAACGCUCUGAUAGUGAGCAUGAUUAAUAUCACAUGUUUAUUCAUAGCACCGUAAAGAUUCAGUUAAUCAAUAUCAAUAAACGCAUUAUAACAAUAGUAAUUCAAGCAUAUAAAUUGUAGAUUUCCGUAUAAACACUAAUUCAAUGGUCAAUUAAGUGCACAAAAACUUUAGGAAUAAUUCAGGGAUCAAGUAAGGACUAAACUGAACAUAACAUAAAGUUCUGGGUAAAACUGUAAAAUAGGGGUCAUACAGUUGUGUGAGGUACUAUAGGUCGUGUGGAAGGGUUACAUGGUUGUGUCGCCAAGCUAUGUAACAGAAUGUGGCCGUGUGGCAAUUGUAAAAUUUACCUAUAGGAGAGAUACGACCAUGUGAAGGGUUUUUCGCUGUAUGGUUCACGAACUACAUUAAGGUUUCUAGGGUACAUGGCGUGUGGACCACACGACCCAUGUGACCCUAUUCCUAGACACAGCUUGCCCUGAUUCACUUGUAAAAGAACACACACAUUUCACCAAGGGUUCGAUAGACAUUCCUUAAGCUCGAUUUUGGUCCAAUUCACCUAGAUUCAGUCCUUCAAUGGAAAAUACACUCAAAUUAACAAUGUAGUUAAGAUUUGUCAAGAUUUUCAAAAGUUCGGCAAGAAACCAUAAAAAAUUGAUUAAUCGGGUGAAUGAAUAGUAUUAAAUUGCAAUAAUCCAAAAAUACGGGAUCCAAUUAUUGAUACGAAGGCACAUACCGAUUCUUUGGCAAGGUUAACGGAUGCUAUGGAUGGUAAUCUCCAAAAUUCAAUAGAAAAUAAAUUAGUGGAAAAAGAAAAACAAUUCAAUGUUGGGGAAAGAUAAUCAAUAGCUCAAUGUGCAAAGAAAAUUUGAUGUAAAUGAGAGGAAAAGAAAAGGUGAAAAAAAAGAAAUAAAAGAUGAAGAGAAAUUCUAAUAGAAUUAUGAAAAAUAAUCAAAGUGAAAAUAAAAUAGGAAAAUAAAAGGGCUAAUUACCUGAGGCAGAGUCUAAAGCUUAACCAUUGGGCUACUACCCAUUUCUUGUUUAAUUUUUAUUCAAAAUAAUAUUUGUUUUAGUGUGGAUUUUAUCCUAGGUUGUUGAAAAUUUAAAAAAAAAAUUGGAAUGAAGGAAGCUUAAACGUAGGACCUCUAAUAGGGGAAUAGCACUUAACCAUCAAGCCUACGGCUUAUUUCAUAUUUAUUUCUUACAUCUAAUCCUAUAUAUUUUUGCGUGUUACGUGUUAUCUGGACUUUUAAUCAACACUUACAAUUUAUCCAACUCAAUAACUAUUUUUUAACAAAAUAUUAAUUAAUUAAUUAAUCUAUCAAAUUAAAUUAUUUUCUCAACCCAAUUCUAAUUUCAUAAAUUCGUGACAACUUUACCGUAUUAGAAUCUAAGAAGAAAUACAUUUAAUUAUCUCAUUCAAUAAAACUAUGAUGACUAAUUAAUUUAAUUCUCACUUUGAACUUCAAUUAUUCAAUUUCAAUCAAUUAAAUAAUUCGAAAAAAUUAAUUUAAUUUCUACAUCAUCUUUUGUACUUAGCGAGAAAACGCAUUCACUGCGGAGAGUGAUACAUGCCAUCUAUUUUUCUUAAUCGUUGUUUUCAUUCAUUCUAUAUUUAUCAAUUCUACAUGCAAUCUGUUUUGAGUUAUGUCGAGCUAGCAAAGGGUCUGAUUGGACAUACAUAAUUAGGGCUCAAAUAAUUUGUAAUAAAGUUCUGACUCUUCGUCUAUUAAUUACAGCAUUAUUUACUUAUGGAGUUGUUACACUAAAGUAUCAUGAUUGAACUCUCCCUUAUUACAUAUCAAGUGUUUGUCCAAUGACCUUGUUAUAAUUAUGUUACCAUCACAAGAUAUCCUUAAUCUCUUUGGGUUAAAUUCGUUCACAAAAUAUAAUCCUAUUUUAUAUCAUGACAACCAUUAUAGUUUCCUUCAUGAAAAAUUCAAUUACUAGCAAACAUUAAUUAAAUCAUUUAUCCUAGGCAAAUAACAUGUGGUCACGAUACUUUUGCAUCUAUCAUGUAAUGUCAAUGAGAGAAUAUCAUUUACCCUAUUAUUGAGCUAUGAAUUCUAUUAUUGUAAAUGAAGUUAUGUCAUACAGAAGUCAUAUACCCAACGUACUAGCUUUCAACUAUUUAGUUAUUUGAACUCAGGCUUUUAGUACAUCAAAGUAUACGAGUCACACACAUAUAAUCAGUAACUUACUCAGGAUUGGGGUACGUCACACUAUGAACGUCGCAAGUGAAUUAAUUCAUAAAUAGAUCUAGGAUUAAUUAAACUUGUAACAGCCCGUUUUUAGUAAAAUCAGAAUAGUGGUUUUGGAACAAUAAAUACGAUGUUGAAAAUUUUAUUUUAAUAUUAUUUUAUGAUCUACAGCAUUUUUUAAGUGCAAAAGUGCAAAAGUUUGCAUGUUCAAUUUGAUAAAAAGGACUAAAUCGCGUAAAGUGCAAAAGUUGUGCAUUAAGAGCUAAAGGUAUUAAAUAGCUAUAGAACUUUAAAGUGGAGGUCCUUAUAUGGUAAAUAGACCAUUAAAUGAGUUAUUGGAUGUGCAUGGCUUGGUAAUUAUGAAAUUUUUAAAGUUAGGUAAGGGUAAUUUGGUAAUUAGGUAAUUAAUGAUAAAAAUAAAUAAAACAAAACAAAGUCUUCAUCUUUGUUUUCUUCACCAACUGAAAUUUUCAGCAAGGAAUAGCCAUGGAAGCUUGAAACCUAAGCAAAUAUUUUGCAUGUAAGUGAAAACCUAUCUCGUUUUUAAUGAUUUUUAGGUUUUAAAAGUCAUUGUAGCUUAACCUAGCUAACUAGGGGACUAAUUUGCAAAAUGGUUGAAAGUAUAGGGUUUUACCAUGAGAGCAUUUUAGUUGUUUGUGAAGUUUAAUGGAAGAAAAUGAAUCUUUGUUGUGAGUUAAACAACUUUUGUUAAGUGAUUUUUGAUGAAAUUGUCAAUUAGGGGUUAAAUUGAGAAAUGUGUUGAAUUGUGUGGUAAAUAUGUGAAAUUGUGAAAAUUAUGGGCUGCUAUAAGCAUGUAUAGAAUUUAGCUAGGCUUAGGUGUGGAUGAAAUUGCAUGAAUUUCAUUUUACGAGCCUAGGGAUUAAAUUGUAAAGAAGUCAAAAUUAUAGGGGCAGAAUGGUAAUUUUUUCAAAAUAUGAUUUUGGAUUAAAAUGAAUAUAAUGAGGUUUGAAUUAGUUGAAUUUGAUUAUAUAGAUCAAGAAAAGUAGUGUACGAAUUUAGACCAGGGAAAAGACAAAGUGUUGGACUAAUCGGUCGUUUUUCUCUGUACGAGUUUGAGGUAAGUUCGUAUGUUUAAUAAGCAUUAAAUUAUAUUUGAUUUAAAUGCUUUAUUAUUAUAUUCUUGAUGAUACGAAUCCACGAAAAUAUCGACGAGUUUUCGGUGACUUAUGGAUCUCGGUUGAACCUUAGGAAUAGAUAGGAUACAAAUGACAUGUCAUUAGGGAUUACCGUGUUUUAGGUGCUGGUCUCAUACGUCCUACUAGUGGCUGAGUUUCCAGCAUGUGUUGCAGUUACUUUACAGCUUGUGUGAACAGCACUAUGUGGCUACAUCUUGACUGACAGCUUGUGUGAGCAGACCCAGUUAUGGCUCAAGAGAGAGCAUUGAAAUGAGAUAUGAGAUCGUAGUGGUUUUGACCACGUAUUGGCACAUAGUGUGCGAGAUACCCACGUAUCUGAUAUUAUUCCAAGUGGUUCAACAGGCACAGUGUUGUUACGAGGAUUAUACGAGUUCAAUAUGAACUAGUACAUGUAUUUAUGUGAAAUAUGGAAAGUGGUAUAUAUUUGACAUAUGAAUUCAUGGCUAACAUGGUUAAUGAUUAUGUGUUAGGCUUUUGGGCCAAAUUGAGUUGUAUUAUGCUUAAAUUUUAGUUACCUAAAUUGCAGUUGAUUGGUAAGUUGUAUUUUUAGUUAUACGAACUUACUAAGCUUAAUUGCUUACUCUAUUUUAUUUUUUGUGUUUUAUAGUGGUUCGGAAGCUUGUUCGGAUUGGAAGUUGUCGGAGAUUGCAUCACACUAUCAAUCGCUUAUUUUGGUACUUUUGGUUAUAUAUUUUGGUUUUAAUGGCAUGUAUAGGUAAUUUUGGCUAAUGGUAGCCUAUAUGUUUUGUCAUGUUUUUAGCAAUUUGAUUUGGCUUGUAUUUGGUAUAUUUUGUUAUGUAUAUAUGUGUAAAUGGCCUUAUCAUAUUGGUGUAUGUUUAUCAUGUGAGUGUGUGCUAGUUGUGAAUUGGUAUUUUGGGUAUCAAUUAGUUGAUCUUAAUAAGUGGCAUGUACGUUAAGUUUUGGUAAAAUGAUGCAUAUAUGUGUUUGACCAUUUAGGUAGGUUUUGGAAACAUUUUUGGCAUGUAUUUAAAUGGCCAAUUGAGGUGCCUAUAGGCAUCAUGAUUGUAUGUGAGGUUAUUGCAUGUUUUAGGCUUGAUUUUGGUUGGUUUGAAUGCCUAUUUAUGUCUUGGUCAUAUGCAAAUUAUUGGUUUAAGUGAGAAAUAUGGUUUGGUAAAUGACCUAUUUUUGUCCACAUGAUCGGAGACACGGACAUGUAUCUCAGUCGUGUGUGACACACGGUCAGGUGACACGACCGUGUGUCCCUAGUAACUUUUAAAGAACACAAGUCAGUAGCCUUACACGGCCUAACACACGGGUGUGUGGCUUGGCCGUGUGACCCAAGUCAGUAAGUUACACGGGUACGGACACGGGCUGGGACACGGGCGUGUGUCCCUAUUUCAAAUGCCCACACGGCCUGAGACACGGGCGUGUGCCUCCUGUACCUUUGAGAAAUUUCAAUGUUUUUCGAAAAACUCUUUAAGUACCCGGUUUAGUCUCGGCUUAUUUUUAAUGUUUAUUUUGGGCCUCGAGGGCUCGUAUUAGGGAUGAUAUGAUUGAGUUUGAUUAGUUUCUAAUAUGAAUGCGAUAUGAAAUGAAAUAUUUGUUUGUUUGAUCUGUAAGUCCAGUAAUGUUCUGUAACCCUGUUUCGACGAUCAGAUACGGGUUAGGAGUGUUACAAAACUUAGGUCCUAUCCAAUGUAUUGUCAAUCCACACAAUCACAUCUAUGUCUCUAUAUUAUGGGAGUGAACCACUCUGAUACCCAAGACAAGGUAUAUCCUCAUUUGUACUUGAUAGACAACAUAAUUGUCCUUUAACUCAAAUAGAAAACCAUAAUGUGACUUAUCUAAAUUGAAGUGGAUGACUAUGUGUGCUAGCAAACACUGACUUGUGGUACAAGUUGUGCUCAAAUGGCAAACCAUAACUCAUAUGUGCAUCAAUUUUAUUGUUGGCAAUUUUUCCUUUGUAUUUAUCCUUAUCCUUCUAUUAUAAGCAACAAAACUUGGGAUAUUUAUCUACUUGAUGCAACACUUUUAAAAAACUCUAGGAUAGAAAAGUUUUAUUUCAAAUAUGACCCUUAACGAGUCCCUAUCUUGAUAAUAAGCUUUGAAAGAAUCUUAGUUUGAGACUUGAAAUUGAAGAAAGAACUUAGAAAUAAUAUAAAGACUUGAAAAAAAUAUAUUAAAAAAGGCUUGGAGAUAAACUUCAUGAUAAAAUUUUUAAAAUUAAAUGGACUUUAUCCCACUUUACAUAAUAGUUAUUUUGAGUGGUAGGAUUUGUGCUCUUAGUAUAGUGGUUUCGUCAUGACUACUUUUAUUUUUUUUCUAAUUGGUUGAAUAAAUAAAAAAUUCACAUGUUUGUUUAAUUGAUAUUUUUAUGUUUGUUUGUAAUGAUUUUUUCAUGGAAAGUAAAAUGUAUAAGCAAAUACAAGAACCUUGACUACUUUAGGUUUAACUAAUAUUAAGUUGCAUUACAUGUUUAGAUUAUAAUGCGAGAAGACAGCUUAUAUUAAUAGGCAAUCUAAAUUGUUCAUAGCAUUUAGAAUUAGAUUAAGUAUAUGAUUCAAAUAAUAGGGGAUUAUUAUGUCAUUUAUAAAUCCAAUUGAUGAGAUAGGUUGUCUUAACUAUUAGAGCAUAAUUGAUUUUCGGAAAUGUGUACAUAUGUGAUUGUCUAGAUUGACAAUACAUUGAAUUGGACCCAAUUGAAUCUAUAGUAGACCUGUUUAUAGAGUCAUUCACUUAUGAUGUUCAUAACAUGACUUACCUAAAUCUUGAGUAGGUGAAUGACUGUGUGUGUAUAACUUACAUACUUUCAUGUAUUAAAAACCUAUGCGUCUUAAAUUAGUAAGUUGAAAGUUGGUACAUUGGGUAUCUGACUUAUACGUGGCAUAACUUUACUUACUAUAAUGGAAUUAUAAGUUCAAUUGUGCUAACACAUAAUUCAUAUCUCACAUAACUUUAAAUCCUCAAUUCAAGUAUACAAAUUACCUUAAUUUCAUAACAAAGUAUGAAUACAUACCUGAAUUUUGUAAUUCGAUUUCACAUUCUGUCUUUACUGCACAUUUCUCGUUGAACCGUUCGGAAUUAAAAAGGAUACGAGGAUAGACAGAAGGCUCGUACAACGCCAACGUCCCAGACGUGGUCUUACAUGUAAUCAUAUAUUGAUGCCACUGUCCCAGACAGGGUCUUACACGUAAACACAAGUCGAUGCCAACGUCCCAGACGUGGUCUUACACGAAAACAUAUAUCGAAAUCCUAUAUCGUGACAUAUGUAUUCUAACUAUUCCUAGGGUUCGUACGGGGAUUUCAGACAACGUAUCUCGAUCAAAUCGAACAUGAAAUAAAACUUCCUGGCUUAUCACACCUUCGGCCAAUACACAUAUAUAUCCACAAAAUUCAAUUCAACAAAUAACAUUUAUAUAUUUGCAAAUUUAACAACAUUUAUAUGCUUAUAGACUUACCUCGGAUAUUGUCAGACAAUAUAAUCGACUAUUCGAUAACUUUCGAUUUCUCCCGAUCUAAUUCCGUUUUCUUUCGUUCUUGACCUAAAUAAAUUCAAAUUUAACUAACUUAAUCGCACAUUCAUUCCAUUUAAUCCAAAAACACAUAAUUGGGAAAAUUAUCAUUUUACCCCUAAUAUUUUACACUUUUUACAAUUUAGUCCCUAUUGCAUAAAACACAAAAUACACAAAAAUUUCACAUUACCCAUGCUUGGACAAAUAUUUACUUGUUUCAUGCAAAUCCAUAUAUUUCAUUUAUUUCACAUUUUAGUCCCUCAAAAUAUUAUUUUCAUAAUUUAAUCCAAAUUAUUUAAAUUCAUCAAAAACCCAAAGACAAAACAUGUUAAUCUAACACAUAUAUUUUAUUUUCUACCAUCAAACAACAAAAAUCACAAGCUAUCAUCCAUGGCAAAACACAAAAUCAUCAUCAAAUUCAAAAAUUAAAGCAUGGGUCUUGUAGUAUUCGAAGCAACGAUAUCAAAAACGUAAAAAUUAUCAAAAACCGAAACAAAAACAUACCUUAAUUAAGCUUAGUAAUGGCCGAAUGCUUCAAAGCUCUUUUCUUUUCUUUUUCUUUAGCAACUUUCUGCAAGAUGAACAUGAUAAUGCUUUUAAUUUAUGUUUUUUUAUUAUAAAUACAUUAUUAUAUUUUAUUUACUAAUUUAACCUUUAUAAGUUAAUUAUAAAACCAUAUAUUAUAAGUCCAAAACCGUCCACUCAAUAUUUCAAUGGUCAAAUUGCAACAUAAAACCUCCAUAUUAAAAGAACAACCACUAUUCGGCCCUUUUAAAAAUAACCACUAAAUUUUCAUUUUACGCGAUUAAGCCCUUUUAUUUAUCGGACACUUAAACGACGAAAUUAAAACACGAAAAUUUUACACAUACAAAUUCACACAUAAUAAACACAGAAAAUAAUAUUAAAAUAUUUUUUGAACUUGGAUUUGUGGUCUGAAAACCACUGUUCCGAUUAGGGUCAAAAUCGAGCUGUUACAUUUGGCCUUUAUAACUCGCUACUCGCUUUGGAAAUAGUGCCGCCAAACGAAAAUGUCUCCCGCACAACCGAGGUUAUCGGAAAAUGACGCAUUCCUUUUAGAAUAGAAUUUAUGCAUUCAGCCAGGUUUGAGGUCAUAAGACCAUAUCGUAGGUCAUCGUCGUAUGCUUGUAUCCACUGAUCGAAAGGUAUGUUACAAAAGUAGUUUGUGCCUUGAUCUUUAACUGACUGCAAAAUCGCUAACAUCUCAUGAAAACUGUCCUUAUUGAUCUCGUACCUUGUCAAUAUAAUUUGAUAGCGAAAAUUAUAUACCACUCUUCCAUUCAGAAUAAAUUGAAUAUUACAAACGAAAUUAUAUUAGUAGAGAUUCAAUACCUAUGUUGGUCACUUGUCGUCUUUCAGUGGUAGACUGAUAUUGCCCGUAGUAGUUGGACACAACAUGCCUUAGGCAAUAUGAUUGUGUGUACGAUCCCAUAAGCUUCUCUGUCACUCAAUUGUUGCUAGUUUUCCAAUACCCCAAUUCGAUAUAACGCAGAUAUCAGGUUGGCGCAGACAUGCCUCCUUAACCUAGAAAGAAAAAAAUCUCAGUCGUCACCUGACUCCUCUGGUGUUAUUGCAAAUGCAAUUGGAAGAAUUCUCUCACCGCCAUCCUGUGCCACAGCUAACAAUAGUCGAUGGGUAUAUCUACCAUACAUAAAGGUACAGUCAAUUUUUACCAAUGGCUUGGGGUACACAAAUGCGUCUUGGUAUUGCUUAAAGCUCUAGAACAGAAGCUUGAACACUUGGCAUCCACAGAGUAAGCAGUCGUUGUAGUACGCAAGGUCUGUUUCAAGUUUUGUUACGCAACCUAGGAAGUACCUCUCCAACACCUGACACCACUGCCACACCUCAUUAUAUAAAGCGUUCCACCCACUAUGCAUCUUUUCCAACGCCUUCUGCUUAGCUAUCCAAGACUUGCGGUAAGAGGGUGUGCACCUCAAUUGGCUACGAAUAUUGGAAAUUAAGCCGACACAAAAAUCUUGGGAUCCACCUUCACCUUCGAUAGCGGUGCUUUUAGCGUCACAAAAAUCUUGGCUAUCAUAUCUACUACACCAAAACAGGCUUUUAGCGGCGCUUUUUUAGGUCUUUAGCGGUGCUUUUUAGCGUCACUAAAAGUAUUUGCGGCGCUUUUAGAAGCGCCAAAAAAACACCGCUAAUGAAUGUGUCGCUAAUUUUAGUGGCGUUCUUAGAAAAAAACGCCGCUAAAGACCAGGGCCUUUAGUGGCGUUCUUAGAAAAAAACGCCGCUAAAGACCAGGGCCUUUAGUGGCGCUUUUACCACAAACGCCGCUAAAGACCAGGACCUUUAGCGACGCUUUUCCCACAAACGCCACUAAAGACCAGGACCUUUAGCGGCACUUUUUCCACAAACGCCGCUAAAGACCAGGACCUUUAGCGGCACUUUUCCGACAAACGCCGCUAAAAACAUGACUUAAAAAAAUAUUUUAAUUAAAUAAUAUAUAUUUCUAUCAUAAAUAUUAUAUUAUGUUUUAUUUUUAAAAUUUAAACUUUAAACUAAAUACUUUUAAGGAUAAAUAAUAUUAAAUUAAAAUUUCUAUUAAAAUUUUAACUUUAAAGCUAAAUAUAAAAAUUAAUGAAUUUAAAUUAAGAAAAUUAAAACAAGUUACAUUCUAUAUUAGAAUUACAUAAGAAAAUUGUUUACAUUCUAUAUUAGAAUUACAUUAGAAUUACAUAAGUUCUGUUUACAAGUUACAUUCUCUCAUGAGCAACUCUCAAAAUCAACUCUUUAAGGGAUCUUUUUUCCCUUAACUCGGUGUAACCGAGUUGCAAAAUGUGGUUUUUCCAUACUUUUCUUGCCAUCCCACAUGUAGCAGCCCAGUACUUACCAGCAGAAAUGCUUACGAUUGUUUUCUCACAAAGGGAAUAUAGCUGUACAAAUUCAUCCAAAUGAAGUAAAUAAAAGUUUCACUCCAGGGGAAGUUAAAAUCAACAAAGACAAUGGAAUAGAACCUGUUGGCAUCUAAGAUGAGGAUCUGAGGAAACCCAAUAAAAUAAUGCUCCAUCUUCAGUAUUAGCCAAGCUAUGUACCAUCCCGGCAGCUAUUGCAACCACUGAACCCAAGUACAGUCAAGGCCUCAAGGGCAUAGAUGAAGGCUACUACAGCAAGCUCAGAAUGAGAAAUUAAUUCAAGAGAGAAUCACCAUGUUCUCAGCACUAUGCGGAUUUGCUUUCUCAAGCAACAAUGAGAUGAUGAUUGGGUCAGCUUCAGUAUGAUGGUUUGAUAUAAGUACAACGUUGUGACCCUGCACCCAAUUGUCUGACAAUUAGAUCCAUAAAAAAGCCAGUUUAAACAUGAAAGAUUCAGCCAGUAUUGCAAGCUUCCUAAGUCCCAGUUGCACGUAAAAGUUUCCCGAAUGUUGAAAACUUAAUAUGACCACGUUUAGCUUAUGCCAAUACAAAAUUGAAAGGAAAACACCAUUAAACUUUCCUUCUGAAUACUAAUAUAUAACUUCAGCCUUGCUUGCAUAAAAAAAAUAUAAAUUAACAUGAUCUAAAGCUGAUGAAAAUUAAGAAAUUAAAAUAAAAUGGACACAAAUUUAACAUACAAACCUGUUAUUUUAUUUCUUCCUCAGAUGCACGUUCUUGUUAGUUAUUAAUCAAAGAAUAUGCAAGUAUUGUAGCAUGCAGAAUAAAAAAUUUCAUCAACUUACUACCAAGCAGCUCUAUGAUGGAUAAAUCAUGUUAUGAUUAACAGUAUGUUUGUUCAAAAAGUAAAUAAUGACAAUGACAUCUUAGUGAAAAAGAUGCUGGAGCAAAACUCGGUCUUGUUUAGAGGAAUCAAGUAAAAGGAAAAAGAAAACUGAGCAUAGUCACCUGCUUAAGCUUCUCCUCUAUUUCAUAGAAAAGAGAAAGAUUGCCAACAUAUGAAUUUCUGCAAAGAACAUAAUACACGGAUGUUAAGAGAAGUGAUUUUUUUAAUUUUAAAAAAAAGAGACCGAACAUGUCCUUCAGUGAUUUUAAAUAUGAAUAACAUAAAUGUUAUAUGAAGCACAUGAAAGAGGGUGAAUAAGUUAAAUAUACAAAAUACAUGCUUCUUUUUCUUUGCAUUUUUGUCAAUUCGGUUGAUGAUAAAUAAUCAAACAUGAAGAAGAGAAAAACUACUAAAGACCCUAUGAAACCCUCAAUGAAAAAAACACAAAAAAGAAUGCACAAGAUAAGAAACAUGGAAUAAGCUUAACCUUGGAUGGUCUCAAAUAGUAGCUAAUAAUUAAGAAAGAAUUACAGUCCCUAUUUCACUUCUCUCUCUCUCUAUAUAUAUAUCUAUAUCCAUGAACCUUAAAGUUUAUUACCAUGGUUUACAAAAUAGAAUUAUGAAAUUUUAAAAAUACAAAUUCCUUCAGCAAAGCACAUGCUUAAUUUUCAGGAAGCUUUUACAAAUUAAUUGAUAUCAGCAGAGAAACCAAUGAAACCAAUGAAUUCUUCCAAUGAAACCAAUAUCAAACACGUCAUAGACACUUAAAGCAGACAAUCCAAUUCUAACAGCAAUUUCUAUUCUAUCCUUCAAGCAUGUGAGUUUUAUAAAUGCCAAGUCAGGCAUAUUAUUCAUUUAUAACUAUCAUUCAAGAGUAUCAAUGUGCUUUGGCUUUGCGUUUCUUUCUUGUUUCAAUUUCCUAGUUUACAUAUGUAUGUGCCACUGGACUUGUUAAGUGAAGAAUGAGAACCAAAUUUUUGUCAAUGACUGCAGGACAUAAGACCAAGAGCAUCAAAAGUUUCCAAACAUGAAACAACUAAUCUAUAUUAAGCAAGUCAGAAAAUCAACGAGGUUAUUGUUUUAGCUAACAUAAUUUUCUUGAACAGGGAUAAAUUAAAAUUUUACCUUUAAACAGUCGCCUACUGCUGUAAAAUAAACAUCAAAACAGGUCCUAACAUGAAUAUGACAUAUACUGAAUAAAAAAUUAUGUAACCAGCUAAAGAGCAGCUGGACAUAUACUGAUUGUAUGUAUGUCCAGCUAAAGAGCAGCCAGAAAAACCCACAAGAUAUCCGCAUAUCAGAAUUAAAUAAAUAGAGGAAGCAAAGUAACUUAAGAGGUUGCAUCUCCAUUAGUUAGAAGACACACCACAACAGUUAACGUGUUAAAUAAAUUAAACCAAUUAAAUGAUUCAAUUUUAAGUAAAAGGAUUAAGGCAAAUUUCAAUGAUUCGAUAAAUUAAAUUGAACUCCAUUUGUAUAAACUACAUCAGCUGCUAUUUCAGAUUUAUUAAUGUUAACUUACCUAAAUCCCAUACUUGAAACUUGAUGUUGUUGUAUUGUACAACCUCUACAUUAAACCCAAUCGCUGCAAAAAAAUAGUUCAAAAAAAUGGUGCAUCGAAGCUGUCAGUAAAAAAAAUGAAAACCCAAAACAAGAAUGAUAAAGAAGAACAUUUCCACAAUAUGCAUGUAUAUAGGCAUACAUACAUUCUCAGUCAAUAUGCAUGGAAAAGCUUGUAAUUAAAAACCAAACAAUGUUUUAAUUGGGACAGAAGCUACAUGUAUAUAGGCACAAAUGCAAUAAAAACCUCAAAUGAAAAAAAAUGAUUAACUAAACAGUAUCAUUAAGCAUUUCCACAAUGAAUUUCAAAAGAUUUGGCUCAAGAAAAUUACCAACCUAAAUUUAUUGAAAUGCAAUGGACAAAUUACAACAGGAUUAACAUUUAUAAAGCAUCUAAACUAAGUGAUUAUCUUGAAUCAUGGUACAUCAACAAAGCACCAAAGCCCCUAGAAUACACAGCAACUUCAAGCACAUAUUAGAAACAUGUCGACUGAGCUAAAAGUGUAAAAAAAAAAUAGAUUAUGCACAAAACUGAUCUCUUGUGAUGUCUUUAUAACCAAGUGAUUAAAAAGUUGCACAUUACCCACAUCCAAGCCGAUUAAAAGUUAAAAAGGAUAAGCUCUUAAACUGUUUUCCUAUUUCCCCUGAAAAAGAGAAGAAAAGGUAAAGCAAGACUAACGAGACAAUUACCAUUUGAAUUCAAUGUGGUUAACAAUCAGCAUACCAAAGAACAAAAGAAUUUACCUUAGGAAAGUCAAUUCCACAAGAUAUGUGAACCUUUGAAGCAGGGAAGGCAACCAUAAAAGAAUCAUUUCUCGAAAAAUAAAAUGGUUCACUCAAAUAUGGUGCCAAUUUCUCAACAUUGUUGCCACACCGAUCCAAGGCCUCUUUUCUGCCAACUUGUUCUAUUGCCUCUACCCAAGCAUUUGCAGACCCAUCAAAAAUAGGAACCUGUGUUAGUUAAAAUUCCAAUCAUCACCAUCUAUAAAAUUGUAUGAAAAAAGAGACUCAGCUAAAUUAUUACAGUGUUUGUACAUUAUAUGUUACAUUAAACAGUUCUCUCUACAAAUUCAUUGACUAUGUUUAAAUCUCCUCGCUCAUCCCUCAAUCCAGAACGCAUAUCCUACAAUAUGGCCUUCAAAGGUUCUUUCCGGCAGUUAGAUUGCAGCUUCAUGCUUUUAGCUUGCUCCAAAGUUGUCUUGAAGUGAACGAACAAUUGAAUAUAUAUUUGUUCCAUGUAAAAUGUAAAAUCAUGCAUUUUAUUAUCCAACAAUACCUUACAGGAAAAGUCGCUUUUCUUGCAAAAAGGAAAGAAUGUGACAAAAGUAACAACCAAAUGAAUAACAAAACUUACAAUUUUAAGCAAAUUAAAAAUCAAUUUUGAUAUCUAAACAAAAAUUAUGGCACUAACCUCGACCUCAGUAUCCUCAGAAUCGAGACUUUGAAUCUGAAUUCUACAAUUGUCAAUGCCUUUAGCUUCCAAAGCCGAAAGCAAAUGCUCGACGGUCCGAAUCUUGUAUCCGUCUUUGCAAAGAGAGGUACACAACAGUGAUUCUCGAACAAAAUCGAUGGAUGCAGGAAUCAAAUUUGAGUGAAACUCAAAGUACCUUCCUUGGCCGGUGAAUCCCGGCCAUAUCUUUACCUUCGAAACCUUCCCCGACUGAAGUGUUUUUCUCGACAGUUCGAUGCAUCCCGCUAGGGUUUGUUGAAGCUUACCGGUCUGGGAUCACAAUAGAAGUUAACGGAAAUAGAGAUCAGGUUAGGAUGUUUUGGGAGUGAGGGAAGGUACCGUUUUCCAUGAGAUGAGAUUGGAGGACUUGAAUGAGUUAAUCGCGGCGGGGAGAUGCAUGUUCCAGAGCGGAAUGAUACGAGGUUAAACUUACAGCUACGGCAAGAUUUUCUUUUGACGGGUUUUAAAGUUAUGACUUCCCAUAUUGUUGCAAAUUCAAAAAUAAAGGGAAUCGGGGUAGGGGGAGAAAUGGUUUGGGAAAAAUAAAAGGACUGUCGAUUUGGGGAAAUUGGGGGAAACAGACUCUUGUUCGGCGACAGUUGUUUCUUCUCGUUCUUGUUCAACAACAGCUGUUUCUUCUUCUUCUGCAGACUUGAGUUUCCAAGUACCGUAAAGAGUUUUGCUGUUUUUGAAGGAUAAGGUCAAGUUAUUGGAAGAAAAGGUGGAAACUUUGGUCUGAAAAUGGAUAGAAUUUGGAUAAAAGAAGAGGUUUUUGGGAGAUUUAAAAUGGGUUUUGGAGAUUAAAUGCAAAGGAGUUGAAAAUGCUGAAAUUGUUGCCAUUUGGUCUUCAAAAUUUGUGCUUUUGGAUGAGAGAAAUAAGAAAUAUUUGGGGGGAAAUUUGGGGUUUUUUCGUUUUUGGGUUUUAGGGGAGAAAUUUGGGAAAAAAGCAGCGCCAAUUUUUUUAACUAAAAUGAAUUUUGUGGCGUUUUUUAUAAAAAACGCCACUAAAAAUAAAAUUAAAUUUUGUAAUAUUUAAAAGAAUUAGAUAAAUUUUAAAAUUUUUAUAUAAUUUUUUAUGUAAGAAAACAAAAACAAAAAAUUUUAAAAUAUGAAAAAAAAAACUUUAAAAAACUAUAUUAAUGAUAAUUUUAAUAAAUUAAAAUUCAUAUUAUCUCUUUUAUUGUCAAUCUAUUACAUUAAUUUGUUACAUUAAUUUAUUUAUUUAUCAAUUUUUUUAAAAUAUAAUAUUUAAAUAUAUCAAAUGAUUUAAACAAUUUAAUCUAAAUUUAGAUUAAAUAUUUUUAAAUAUAAAAACAUUAAUUAAUUGUAUAAAAUUUUAUCAUUUAACAAAUCUAAAGUAAACCUUAAAUCCUAAACCAUUUAAUAUGUAUAAAAUUGAUCUAUUAUCUCUUAUAUAAUUUAAACUGUAAUAAUAAUUUUAAUGUAUUAAAAUUAAUAUUAUCUCUUUUACAAUUAUAUAAGAAAUUAUUUAAUAUAUAAAUUAAAAAAUACCAAUUAAUCUAAACCCUUAAUCCCUAUCUCUUAAACCCUGAAUCAUAAAAUAUAAACCCUAAACCCCUAACCCCUCUUUUACAAUUAUAUAAAAACUUAAUUAAUAUAGGAAUUAAAAAAAUACUAAUUAAUCUAAACCUUAAACCCUAACCUGACCUCAAAUCUUUAAACCCUAAAUCACUAGCUCUUAACCCCUAACCUCUAACUCCUAACCCCUAACUACUAACCCCUAAAUCUUAUUUAAUAUAUAAAUUAAAAACACCAAUUAAUCUAGACCCUAAAUCCUAAACCCUAACCCAAAUCCCUAACCCCAUACACCUUAUUCAAUAUGAAUUAGAACACACUAAUUAAUCUAAACCCUAAACUCUAACCUGACACUGAAUUCAUAAACCUUAAAACACUAACUCUUAAUCUCUAACCCCUAACCCCUAAAUUACAACCCUUAAACCAAAGUCCCUAAUCCUUAAUCCCUAAUCCCUAAUUCCAUAAUCUAUAAACCUUAAAAUUGUAACUCCUAAACCGGCCUUAAAUCCUAAAUUAACCAUAUACCCUAAAUCAUAUACCCUAAACCAUAUAUAUUAAACCCUAAACUAUAAUGAUAAUUAAUUAAAUAUUUUAAAAUUAAUACUAUCGUAUCUUUUACAAUUUAAGUUUUAUGAUAUUUUAUUUUACUCAUAAUUUAAUAUAUUUUUCUAGUAAAGUAGUUUAAAUAAACUGUGAUUGAAAAAUAAUAAUAAAUAGCUAGGAGUUAGGAAUUAGGAAUUCUCUUCAAUAAAAACAUUUUGUAUUAAACAAUAUUAUUUGUUAUAAUUUAAAUGUAAAUUUGACCAAUAUAUAAUAAAUACAACGAAAUAUCAAUUUUUUCAACUUAUAAUAAAAAAAUAUAAUUGAAACAUUACUUGAGAAUAUAUCAAAGAAUGAGAUAAUUGAGAAUAUAUCAAAAAUGGGCAUUAGCGGCGCUUCUUCAAAAACGCCGCUAAAGGCCCCAAAAACUCAAAAAACGGCGUCGUUGGGCUUAGGCUUGUUGCGGCGCUUUUCAAAAAACGCUGUUAAUUCUUAUUUUUAGCGGCGUUUUCCAAAAAGCGCCGCUAAUGCUCGACCUUUAGCGGCGUUUUUAGAAAAGCGCCUCUAAUGCUUGAUUUUUAGUGGCGUUUUUUGUCCAAACGCCGCUAAAAACGCCGCUAAAAGCCUGUUUUGGUGUAGUGAUAUAAAUCCAUUUUGGGAUGAUCUUGUGAAACACCUGUCAACGAAGUAUGUUAAAUAAUGCAACAUUAAGUAAUAAUAGUAUUAUUCAAAAACCCUAAACACCUAGUGAUACUGUACCGACAACACAGGUAUAUGGACCUUUGUACUUCUUUAUCUCCCAUAAGCCUGUCUUUUUCCUAACCGAAGCCAUAAUUUUUCGUGAACAUGUACCGUCUUACACUGCACACUUGGCUUCGAACUUCUCGGAUUUAGAUUUAACCAUGUGGGGUUCAUAAUGCUAUGUUGUUUCAAUAGACCAAGAAAACUAUCCUUACUAGAAAACUUCUUACCAACUUCUAAUUCACCCGAAUCUAACUGACAAACUUGUACGGUCACGUAUUCUGUGUAGUAGAUCUGGAAACUCCAAUGCAUCAUCUGUCGAUAGAUCGACAUUAUGCAUGUGGGCUAGAGGUGAGUAUGCCGUGAAUCACGGAUCUUCUUAUUCUUCAUCUAAACCCCCUUCACCAUCUUCAGGUUCAGUUGGAACAGGCUCCGGUUCAGAAAAUAAUGCAACUUUUUCACCAUCGGGGCCAGACUCUCUAGGUGGAUCCACAUCGAACUCAUCAUCCAACCCACCAUCAUCUGCAACGUGCGAGGUUCCCUCGCCAGUUGACAUCGUAGGAAGUACAUCAUCCCUUCUUGUGGAUGUUUCGUAACGUCUCCAAUCAGAUGUGAAUUACCAACCACUAGAAGUUGAUGUCAUUCCCUAGUAUGUAUUUCCAGUAUUGAACAUCGACCCAUCAAUGUGCAUGUCUCAUCCACUAACUGAGUGUCAUGCAAGAGUAGUGUAUUCCAUACUGCCACCAAACACGGGUGCUUCCGUGUUCUGCCUCUCACUAACGGAAUGUCGAGCAGGGGUUGUGUAUUCCUCUCGAACAGCAGUAGAUGUUGAAGUCACAAAUGCUUCAUUUGGCGAUGAAAAUUGUACAUAUAACUCAAGAUAGGAUGAUCCACUAGCAAGAUGAGUCUGCACCAUCGCCUCCAAGCUACAACCACCUUUGAUAUCAAAUGUCAUAUGUCACGGGAUCAAUCGAAGUACAAAACCGAUACUUAAUAGACAAAACUCUCAUUGGCGUCGUUCUAAAGAUUUUACGCCUAAGUCUUUUACGAAGUUCUGUCAAAUCUAUAUUCUGGUUAAAAAUCAAUCAAGUUGUGUUCUCCAAUAAAAAAAUGUUAUUCUCGAUGUCACGGACCUCACCAUCAUAGUAAAUAACAGCAUAAUACGUUCACUCAUAUUCAAUUUAUAUUCUGCUUAGCCUCUCUAAUUUUUCUUGCUGUAACUUAUGCAACAUGAGAAUGAAAUUUGGUUCAUUUAUAGCCUAAGGCCAAGCAGGAACUACUGUAGAAAAAUAGCACCCACGUAUGACCAUUUUUCAGUAAUUUUGCUGACAGUGCAUCCUGUUUGAAGCAUUUUUGACACAAUUUUUUCAAAAACGUCUUCUGAAAAUUAUUUUUUCAGGAACUACUGUAGAAAAAGAUCACCCACGUGUGACCAUUUUUCAGUAAUUUUGCUGACAGUGCAUCCUGCUUGAAGCGUUUUUGACACUAUUUUUUCAAAAACGUCUUCUAAAAAUUAUUUUUCAAGAACUAAUGUAGAAAAAGAGCUUUCACGUGGGAACUUUUUUCAGUAAUUUUGCUGAUAGUGCAUUCUGCUUGAAGCGUUUUUGACACUAUUUUUUUAGAACCGUCUUUUCAAAAUUAUUUUUUCAGGAACUACUGUAGAAAAAGAGCGUCCACGUGGGAGCUUUUUUCAGUAAUUUUGCUGACAGUGCAUCCUGCUUGAAGCGUUUUUUACACUAUUUUUUUAGAACCGUCUUUUCGAAAUUAUUUUUUCAGGAACUACUGUAGAAAAAGAGCAUCGACAUGGGAGCUUUUUUCAAUAAUUUUGCUUAUAGUGUAUCCUGCUUGAAACAUUUUUGACACUAUUUUUCAGAACUGUCUUCUCUAAAUUAUUUUUUCAUGAACUACUUUAGAAAAAGAGCGUCCAUGUGGGAGCUUUAUUCAGUAAUUUUACUAACAGUACAUCCUGCUUGAAGCGUUUUUGACAUUAUUUUUUCCGAACCUUUUUCUCAAAAUUAAUUUUUCUGAAACUACUGUAGAAAAAAAACAAAAUUCUUCUUGUCAAUAUAAUUUUUUUCUAAACCUUAAACCUAAACCCUUUUACAAAAACCCUAAAGGCUAACACAAAAUUAUUUUUUUUAAAACAUAAACCCUAAUUUAAUUAAUUUAUUUAAAACCCCUAAAAUCUAAUUUAAUUAAUUUUUUAAAAACUAUAAACCCUAAUUUAUUUUUUUUAAAUACCUAAAUCUUAAACAAAUCAAACCCUAAAUUAUUUUAACAAAGCACUAACCCUAAAACCCUAAACCCAUAAAGCACUAAACAUGCAAAUAGCCCUAGCACUAAACAUGCACAUUUUUUGCUGACAUGGAAAAAUCGCUCCCUCAAGGACGUGUUUUGCUAGAAUUUCCCCUUAAAACGCUCUUACAUAGACGUGUUUUAAUAUUUUCGGCCUAUUCUAGUAAUAAUAAAAAAGGUGGCCCAUUUAAAAUGGUCUGGGGAAAGUGAUCAUUUGGUACUCUUUAAGCUAUUUUUAAUAUUUUUGAAAAUUAUUGAAUUUCAUAAUUAAUUAUAGAGAUUUUUUUAAUGGUUGAUAUAGUUCCAAUAUUUUAUGCCAAACUUUUGUUAUUUUGAUAAAACAUUUUAUGUUGAGAAAUUAGAAAAAAAUUUUAAGGACAUCGAAAAUAAAUUGUAAUUUUUAUAAUUUUAAUAACCUAUAUCUUUAUAAUUUUAAAAAAUUAAAUUAAAUUUUUUAUCAUUUUUAACAGGGAUUAAAGUACAAUUUUAUCUUUACUAAUUUAAAAUUUUAAAAUUUUUAAAACUAAAAGAAAAGUUUUCCACAAAUAUACAUAGAAUUUUAAAGAUUAAAUAAAAACAAGCUAAUUAGAUUAUUCAAGAACCUUGAACGUAAUUUAAGAUUUUUAUUUCGAAAUGUGAGCAAAUAUAUAGAUUUUAAUACCCCAGCUCAUGGAAUCCAAACUCGUAGCAAAAAUAAAAUCAGAAGAGACAUUAAUCAGAUUAGAUAUUUGUGGGAGUGCCAAGAAUCUGAAAUAACAGACUUUGAGUGCUAAAAAAGACUCAAUAAUUAAUUAUUAAUUAAUUAAGUGAUGUCCAAUUUGUACAAAGUUACAUAUAAAUGACCAUAUUCAUCUCUUAUCUAAAUAACAUAUCAGCAGCUUAUAUAAUCUAUCAUCACUAUCUGUGAGAUACAUGGUCUAUAGCUAAUUUCGUUUUUUCUCCUUGGGCAGCUCUUUGUAUUUACUAUAAUUAAUUAACAGUGAGGCAAGUCAGCUCCUCAUGCUCCAUGUCCAUCCCUGUACUUAAUAAUACAAAUAAUCCUGUAAUCGAAUUGCUCCAUGGUCGGGUCGGGAUAGAGUUUCGAGCAAAGUAACCCCUAGCUUCAGGAAUGAACUGAAAACAUAGUUCAAGGUGUGAUUCAUGAGGUGUUGGUUGUGCCAGAAGAGCUGUCAUCAAGAAUAAUAUCAGCAGGAUCUCCUAUCCAUGGUCUCCCUUCUCUCCACUGAAACUUUAUCCUUAGUUUUCCAUUUGCAUCAACCCCAACCACCUGCCC
This 36011-nucleotide long non-coding RNA is filed under the name Gossypium barbadense (sea-island cotton). RNAcentral describes it as "long non-coding RNA (GBAR_LNC023108)". The record is from RNAcentral. Lineage: Eukaryota; Viridiplantae; Streptophyta; Magnoliopsida; Malvales; Malvaceae.